AUCUUCUUUUAGAGCAAAUAAGAAAUAUUUUUGACUUAUGAGAGAUAGUUCAAGAAAAUUAAUAUUCAUGCUUUAACAGAUUUUUAUGCUCAGAUUAAACAUGAUGAGUUAAAAUUAAUCAGUGGAAUUUGAGAUCAUUUUAGGAGAUGGUAUUAAUCGUUCAAUCAAGGAUACAAUGAUUAUGCUCAAUGAAGUUUUAACAUGAAGGUAUGAAAUCAGCAUCAAACGUUUAUACUAGAGAGGGAAUUUAGAUUUUGUAAACUUGAAGAAAGAAGGUUAUAUGUAUAUCCAUUCAUUGUUUUCUUUAUCAUGAUGCAAGCACUAGAAAGUUUCAUGCUAAAAUCGUUGAGAUAAGAUUUAACAUAUGAGGCAUUUAAAAACAUUGAUGCAGAGAGUAUCGUAAUUUCAUAAAAAGAUAAUUUCGAUACACGAUGUAGAAUGUUAAAUCUUAUACUAGAUUUAAUGAAUAAAUUGAGACUUAUCUUUAAUUAUGUGUCAACGCACCCAUUUGUAUGAAAGUUUCGUUUGUUCCAUGGGUAGCUUGGCACACCUACAUCUACACCCUCAUAUUUUCAUUUUGGGUAUCCAAGCUUGCUUGGGUCCUUGAGGGUUAGUGCAUAUGGUUCCUUUUGGAACCCAAAUCUGUUUAAUCGUAA
Molecule: long non-coding RNA, 656 nt
Filed under: Phoenix dactylifera (date palm)
Lineage: Eukaryota; Viridiplantae; Streptophyta; Magnoliopsida; Arecales; Arecaceae
Description: long non-coding RNA (PDAC_LNC009983)
Source: RNAcentral